UUAGUUGAAGCUAAAAUUAGCAGCAUCUCACUGUUAAUGGGACUUAGGGUAAAGACCCCAACUAAG
Molecule: transfer RNA, 66 nt
Filed under: Daphnia galeata
Lineage: Eukaryota; Metazoa; Arthropoda; Branchiopoda; Diplostraca; Daphniidae
Description: tRNA-Asn
Source: RNAcentral